GACGAACGCUGGCGGCGUGCUUAACACAUGCAAGUCGAACGGAAAGGCCCUGCUUUUGUGGGGUGCUCGAGUGGCGAACGGGUGAGUAACACGUGAGUAACCUGCCCUUGACUUUGGGAUAACUUCAGGAAACUGGGGCUAAUACCGGAUAGGAGCUCCUGCUGCAUGGUGGGGGUUGGAAAGUUUCGGCGGUUGGGGAUGGACUCGCGGCUUAUCAGCUUGUUGGUGGGGUAGUGGCUUACCAAGGCAUUGACGGGUAGCCGGCCUGAGAGGGUGACCGGCCACAUUGGGACUGAGAUACGGCGCAGACGCCUACGGGAGGCAGCAGUGGGGAAUAUGGCACAAUGGGCGGAAGCCUGAGGCAGAAACGCCGCGUGCGGGAUGACGGCCUUCGGGUUGUAAACCGCUUUCGCCUGUGACGAAGCGUGAGUGACGGUAAUGGGUAAAGAAGCACCGGCUAACUACGUG
RNAcentral lists this ribosomal RNA (468 nucleotides) under uncultured bacterium. RNAcentral describes it as "partial 16S ribosomal RNA". It matches the Rfam family "Bacterial small subunit ribosomal RNA", at positions 28 to 507 of the family's 1533-position model. The record is from RNAcentral.